Molecule: ribosomal RNA, 468 nt
Filed under: uncultured bacterium
Lineage: Bacteria
Description: partial 16S ribosomal RNA
Rfam family: Bacterial small subunit ribosomal RNA
Source: RNAcentral
GACGAACGCUGGCGGCGUGCUUAACACAUGCAAGUCGAACGGAAAGGCCCUGCUUUUGUGGGGUGCUCGAGUGGCGAACGGGUGAGUAACACGUGAGUAACCUGCCCUUGACUUUGGGAUAACUUCAGGAAACUGGGGCUAAUACCGGAUAGGAGCUCCUGCUGCAUGGUGGGGGUUGGAAAGUUUCGGCGGUUGUGGAUGGACUCGCGGCUUAUCAGCUUGUUGGUGGGGUAGUGGCUUACCAAGGCUUUGACUGGUAGCCGGCCUGAGAGGGUGGCCGGCCACAUUGGGACUGAGAUACGGCCCAGACUCCUACGGGAGGCAGCAGUGGGGAAUAUUGCACAAUGGGCGGAAGCCUGAUGCAGCAACGCCGCGUGCGGGAUGACGGCCUUCGGGUUGUAAACCGCUUUCGCCUGUGACGAAGCGUGAGUGACGGUAAUGGGUAAAGAAGCACCGGCUAACUACGUG